RNAcentral lists this long non-coding RNA (993 nucleotides) under Homo sapiens (human). RNAcentral describes it as "HSALNT0120574". The record is from RNAcentral. Lineage: Eukaryota; Metazoa; Chordata; Mammalia; Primates; Hominidae.
CAAGUGAUUCUCUUGCGUCAGACUCCCAAGUACCUGGGACUAUAGGCACGUGCCACUGUGCCUGGCAAAUUUUUGUAUUUUUAGUAGAGAUGGGGUUUCACCAUGUUGGCCAGGCUGGUUUCAAACUCCUGACCUCAGGUGAUCCACCCACCUUGUUCUCCCAAAGUGCUAGGAUUACAAGUGUGAGCCAUGGCACCCGGCCCACUUUGCAUAUUUUGACUCAUUUAAGAUUUAAAACCCUACGAGGUAGGUACUGUUAUAAUUACCCUUAUUUUACAGAUAAGGAAAUGGAAGCUGAGAGUUUAAGUGACUUGCCCAUGGCCACAUAGCUGUCCUGAAAGAGGAGGAAGACAACAAAGACAUAUAACUAAACGCAAACACAUUGCCAUGGCGCCAAAGAAAUGAGAAAGAUCAGGGUGGGACCUGCCGUCUUUCCUGCAAUUGGGCUAGUUCAAGCUGUAUAGUCCUGGUUUUAUUUGAGGCCAUUUAAGCAUCAGGUGUCAACGAUUAACCUGGCUCAGUCCUAAAACUGCUGCUGACCUCCAAACCUGCUGCCUUCUGAUCUGAGACAAGGUUCCUUGUCUCUGAUGACACACCAUGCCCAGCUGCCACGCCGAUUAUUCUCCAGGGACAGAUGGCGACUCUCGAUGUGAGAGACACACAGAAGUGCCGAAGGAACAGUCUUACUGCCCCUCCUAGAAUACAAUUUUGCCUCAUUCAAAACAGUCACCGUUCACCCAACCUGAAAGGCCUGUAUGUGCGCUGAAAUGGACCAAAGUACCUUGUUUAGCAGCAAAUAAAUAACCUGAUGCUUCCUGGGUUGGCUGAUCGUGCAAUGCUACAGUUGCUGUCCUUCCCACAUGAUACCACCAGCUGUUCUGCUGAGACUGAUGUCAAAAAUUGUGGCUAAUUUCUGAUGUUUCUCACAGACUUUUUAGAUAUAGAAAUAAAAGAUACUCCACCUCAUAGAGGAAGACUUUGUGUUGCAUUAAG